AACGGUAACAGGUCUUCGGAUGCUGACGAGUGGCGCACGGGUGCGUAACGCGUAUGCAACUUGCCCUCAACAGGAGAAUAGCCCGGAGAAAUUCGGGUUAAUGCUCCAUAGUAUAUACGGAUUGCAUGGUUUGUAUAUUAAAGCUACGGCGGUUGAGGAUGGGCAUGCGUCCUAUUAGCUAGUUGGAGAGGUAACGGCUCACCAAGGCGACGAUAGGUAGGGGGCCUGAGAGGGUAAUCCCCCACACUGGUACUGAGACACGGACCAGACUCC
This 273-nucleotide ribosomal RNA is filed under the name unidentified marine bacterioplankton. RNAcentral's name for it is "partial 16S ribosomal RNA". It matches the Rfam family "Bacterial small subunit ribosomal RNA", at positions 65 to 339 of the family's 1533-position model. The record is from RNAcentral.